AACUUUACAAGUUUGUAAGCCCAUUUAGGGCACUUUGGAGGGAGUAGGCACUUUUUUGGGGGUUUUCUACUGUUCGACAAAAAUCAAUACCAUACUACCCCUGCUUACGUCAGCUGAUGCGCUAACCAUGG
RNAcentral lists this small RNA (131 nucleotides) under Arabidopsis thaliana (thale cress). Its description in RNAcentral is "ATSL042360". The record is from RNAcentral. Lineage: Eukaryota; Viridiplantae; Streptophyta; Magnoliopsida; Brassicales; Brassicaceae.